GACGAACGCUGGCGGCGCGCUUAACACAUGCAAGUCGAACGGAAAGGCCUGCUUUCCCUUGUGGAUUGCGGGUACUCGAGUGGCGAACGGGUGAGUAACACGUGAGUGAUCUGCCCCCAACUUGGGUAUAAGCCUGGGAAACUGGGUCUAAUUCCCGAUAGGACUGCAGGGUGGUGCCUGUGGUGGAAAACGAUUUUCUAGUGGUUGGGGAUGAGCUCGCGGCCUAUCAGCUUGUUGGUGGGAUAAUGGCCUACCAAGGCGGCGACGGGUAGCCGGCCUGAGAGGGUGGACGGCCACAUUGGGACUGAGAUACGGCCCAGACUCCUACGGGAGGCAGCAGUGGGGAAUAUUGCACAAUGGGCGGAAGCCUGAUGCAGCGACGCCGCGUGGGGGAUGACGGCCUUCGGGUUGUAAACUCCUUUCGACCGCGAGGAAGCCACCUGGUUGGAGGGGUGGUGACGGUAGUGGUAGAAGAAGCACCGGCUAACUACGUG
Molecule: ribosomal RNA, 494 nt
Filed under: uncultured bacterium
Lineage: Bacteria
Description: partial 16S ribosomal RNA
Rfam family: Bacterial small subunit ribosomal RNA
Source: RNAcentral